RNAcentral lists this small RNA (588 nucleotides) under human gut metagenome. The record is from RNAcentral.
GUAAUCCUGCUGGCGCAGUAUUCUAGUCAGUUUUCGCCGACCCGAAGGCGGGGGUAAAAUAUCGCCGAAGGGCAUAUCGAUGAAGUUCCUUGUGAUGGCUUCGGUUGCCCAAACCGGGGCUUUUGCUGGGAGUUAAGACUUGCGGGCGGCUCGUAACGGCAUACGAACCCCGACCCGCUUGUCGCGGAGACCCGAUGCGGUGGAGGUUUCUCCCUCUACUGCACGGGGUGGAAACCUGUAAUGCGGUGUCGCAAGGCGCUGUGUUCAGUGUAGCCUGCCUUGAGUGGUCCUGCAGGGAUAGGGGAACUACGUUUGCUUAGGUUGGCCGACCGACGCGGGCGAUCGCCCCUUGAAAUGAGGGCUGCAAAAAAGGAUAAGGGCGGACGGGAACUGCCAAGGAAAUCUUCUAGACUGUUCUGUGUAGACAGCCUGGGGAUUAUAGUGUGCACUAAGUGGCGAUUCGGUUGUGCAGUGAGAAAUCCUGCAUCUCGCGGAGUAAUCGGAAACAUCUCGCACGGCGACGGCGAGUUUCCGCGGGGGGAAAACCUACCGAACCUAAGGCGCAAGGUUUACCCGGGCUGUUGCCAG